GAUGAAGAACUCAGCGAAAUGCGAUAAGUAAUGUGAAUUGCAGAAUUCCGUGAAUCAUCGAAUCUUUGAACGCACAUUGCGCCCCCUGGUAUUCCGGGGGGCAUGCCUGUCCGAGCGUCAUUGCAACCCUCAAGCGCGGCUUGUGUGUUGGGCUUCGUCCCCCCGUGGACGUGCCCGAAAGGCAGUGGCGGCGUCCCGAAUGGUGCCCGAGCGUAUGGGAACUCUCUUCCGCUCGAACCGGCCCAUUCGGCGCUGGUCGAACCCCAAUUUUUUUUUACCGGUUGACCUCGGAUCAGGUAGGGAUACCCGCUGAACUUAAGCAUAUCAAUAAGCGGAGGA
RNAcentral lists this unclassified non-coding RNA (339 nucleotides) under soil metagenome. RNAcentral describes it as "partial contains 5.8S ribosomal RNA, internal transcribed spacer 2, and large subunit ribosomal RNA". The stretch from base 1 to 120 matches the Rfam family "5.8S ribosomal RNA", at positions 35 to 154 of the family's 154-position model. The record is from RNAcentral.